Molecule: ribosomal RNA, 1002 nt
Filed under: Nothopoda sp. 28sd2-5r8
Lineage: Eukaryota; Metazoa; Arthropoda; Arachnida; Trombidiformes; Eriophyidae
Description: eukaryotic LSU rRNA
Rfam family: Eukaryotic large subunit ribosomal RNA
Source: RNAcentral
AAAUAGAACUUUGCAGAGAGAGUUAAGAGGGCGUGAACCGUUAAUUGGCAAACGAAUCGGAGCCACGAAGUCGUUUCGUCGAUAGUUUGGCUGAGUUCAGUGUUUAUGAAGUUGUACAAAUUUCGUAAGCGCGUACUCUCAAGUUGAACCAUCUUUGUAAGCGUACACUGCAACUAGUUAGACGAUUGUUAAUGGGCCCAGUGGGCUUAGAGUAACGCAAGUUACGCUAUGUUCACGCAGCAUUUGUUUAUUGCGAGAGGUAGUAAAUUGGCCCCGUGAAUGCGGGUGUCUAGUUUGCUGGCUCGUAGUAAGUGAGCUAUUGACAAAUACUGACUAGCACAAUGAAAAUCACCUUCGUAUGAAGUGUGUUGUAUAGACAAAGCGCUGGCAGCGCGUACUAUUACGUAGUUGGCGCGUAAGUUUUUAAAGUUCAGUGCUUUUGAAUUUAGACUUGCAUGCUAUCAACGGGGCAACUCUUGGUGCAUGUAUAGCUUCUAUCUAAUCGGGUAUUGACUUGGCUUGCGUGAAAGUCAGCUACGAAUCGUUUGAUGGUACGCGUUAGUUAGUUGCAAUUUGAAUUGGCAGUGAGUAGGUCGGCUUUCCGAACGACCCGUCUUGAAACACGGACCAAGGAGUCUAAUUAGGCAUCGAGUCGAUCGGUCUUGAUAGGCCAGCUUGUGAGCGCAGCUUUACUGCUUGUGCUGAUCAGAAGGCGUAGAGAAAUCAAAUUUCAUGUGAUCUUGUGGCAAAUACCCCUGCUGCAAGCGCAACAUGUGCCUGCUCGUGUGCCAUUGUUGCAACGUUAAUGUUAAGAUUAAACGUCUUGGCUGUUGUUAACAUGGUGGGCGGAGUAAAGAGAUGCUUGACUGGUACCCGAAAGAUGGUGAACUAUGCUUGGGCAAAUUGAAGCCAGAGGAAACUCUGGUGGAGGAUUGUAGCGAUUCUGACGUGCAAAUCGAUCGUCAGACCUGAGUAUAGGGGCGAAAGACUAAUCGAACCAUC